This 1396-nucleotide ribosomal RNA is filed under the name Haliaeetus albicilla (white-tailed eagle). Its description in RNAcentral is "Bacterial large subunit ribosomal RNA". It matches the Rfam family "Bacterial large subunit ribosomal RNA", at positions 459 to 2668 of the family's 2925-position model. The record is from Rfam by way of RNAcentral. Lineage: Eukaryota; Metazoa; Chordata; Aves; Accipitriformes; Accipitridae.
GGUGAUAGAAAAGACGCCUUCUUGGUGCAAUAGAGAUUUGUACCACAAGGGAAAGAUGAAAUAACAAUGAAAAGCCAAGCAAUAGACAGCAAAGAUAAACCCUUGUACCUCUUGCAUCAUGAUUUAGGAAGAACGACCAAGCAAAAUGAAUUUAAGUUUGCCACCCCAAAACCCAAGUAAGCUACUUAGAAGCAACUACCCCUGAGAGAACCCUCCUCUGCUGCAAAAGACUGCAGUGACUUGUUAGUAGAGGUGAAAGGCCAACUGAGCUGGGUGAUAGCUGGUCGCUUGUGAAAUUAAUCUAAGUUCUCUCUUAAUUCUCCUCCAUGGACACCCAAUCUAGCCACCAUGUAAUGAAUCAAGAGCACUUUAAAGGGGGUACAGCUCCUUUAAAAAAGAACACAGUCUCUCCUAGUGGAUAACCACUCAACUCCUGCCCUCCAAACUGUGGGCCUUCAAGCAGCCACCAACAAAGAGUGCAUCAAAGCUCUACACCUAAAAAUCCAAAACCAAUAUGACUUCCUUCUCACCAGGAAGCCAACCUAUAACAAUAGGAGAAUCAAUGCUAAAAUGACUAACUGGGGACUCUCCCCGUCUCAAGCACAAUCUUAUAUCAUUACAUUAUUAACAGAGUACAACUAAUACCUCGAUUUUAACAAGACUGAAUAUUAAACCCACCCUGUUAGCCCAACUCAGGAGCACCCACUAGAAAGAUUAAAAUCUGUAAAAGGAACUAGGCAAGCCCAAGACCCACCUGUUUACCAAAAACAUAGCCUUCAGCGAACCACAUGUUGAAGGUGGUGCCUGCCCAGUGACACCACGUUUAACAGCCAUGGUAUCCUAGCUGUGCGAAGGUAGCACAGUCAAUUGUCCCAUAAAUCGAGACUUGUAUGAAUGGCUAAAUGAGGUCUUAACUGUCUCCUACAGAUAAUCCAUGAAAUAGAUCCUCCUGUGCAAAAGCAGGAAUAAAUACAUAAGGUGAGAAGACCCUGUGGAACUUAAAAAUCAGCGGCCACUGCACAUAAACCUAAGCCUACCAGGCCUACCACCCCCAAAACGCUGUCCCGCAUUUUUUGGUUGGGGUGACCUUGGAGAAAAACAGACCCUCCAAAAAUAGGACCACACCUCUUAACCGAGAGCAACCCCUCAACGUACUAAUAGUAACCAGACCCAAUAUAAUUGACCAAUGGACCAAGCUACCCCAGGGAUAACAGUGCCAUCUCCUCCAUGAGCCCAUAUUGACAAGGACGUUUACGACCUCGAUGUUGGAUCAGGCCAUCCUAAUGGUGCAGCUGCUAUUAAGGGUUUGUUUAUUCAAUGAUUAACACUCCUAUGUGAUCUGAGUUCAGACCGGAGCAAUCCAGGUCAGUUUCUAUCUAUGAUGAACUUUCCCCAG